RNAcentral lists this ribosomal RNA (422 nucleotides) under uncultured bacterium. Its description in RNAcentral is "bacterial SSU rRNA". It matches the Rfam family "Bacterial small subunit ribosomal RNA", at positions 355 to 774 of the family's 1533-position model. The record is from RNAcentral.
UAAGGAAUAUUGGACAAUGGAGGCAACUCUGAUCCAGCCAUGCCGCGUGAAGGAAUAAGGCCCUACGGGUUGUAAACUUCUUUUAGACGGGACAAAACCCCUUUACGUGUAAAGGGUUGAUGGUACUGUCAGAAUAAGCAUCGGCUAACUUCGUGCCAGCAGCCGCGGUAAUACGAAGGAUGCAAGCGUUAUCCGGAAUUAUUGGGUUUAAAGGGUGCGUAGGCGGACUAAUAAGUCAGUGGUGAAAGCCUGCAGCUUAACUGCAGAAUUGCCAUUGAUACUGUUAGUCUUGAGUACAGUUGAGGUAGGCGGAAUGUGUCAUGUAGCGGUGAAAUGCUUAGAUAUGACACAGAACACCGAUUGCGAAGGCAGCUUGCUAAGCUGUAACUGACGCUGAGGCACGAAAGCGUGGGGAGCAAACA